GCUGGGCGUGGUGGUGCGUGCCUGUAGUCCCAGCUACUCGGGAGGCUGAGGCAGGAGAAUCACUUGAACCCAGGAAGCAGAGGUUGCAGUGAGCCAAGAUUGCACCACUGCACUCCAGCCUGGGUGACAGAGUGAGACUCUGUCUCAA
RNAcentral lists this non-coding RNA (148 nucleotides) under Gorilla gorilla gorilla (western lowland gorilla). Lineage: Eukaryota; Metazoa; Chordata; Mammalia; Primates; Hominidae. The record is from Rfam by way of RNAcentral.